AGGAUGAACGCUGGCGGCGUGCCUAACACAUGCAAGUCGAGCGCCCCGCAAGGGGAGCGGCAGACGGGUGAGUAACGCGUGGGAACAUACCCUCCGGUUCGGAAUAGCUCAGGGAAACUUGGAUUAAUACCGGAUACGGCCUAGCGGCGAAAGAUUCAUCGCCGGAGGAUUGGCCCGCGUUCGAUUAGCUAGUUGGUGAGGUAACGGCUCACCAAGGCGACGAUCGAUAGCUGGUCUGAGAGGAUGAUCAGCCACAUUGGGACUGAGACACGGCCCAAACUCCUACGGGAGGCAGCAGUGGGGAAUAUUGGACAAUGGGCGCAAGCCUGAUCCAGCCAUGCCGCGUGAGUGAUGACGGCCUUAGGGUUGUAAAGCUCUUUCGCUAGGGACGAUAAUGACGGUACCUAGACAAGAAGCCCCGGCUAACUUCGUGCCAGCAGCCGC
RNAcentral lists this ribosomal RNA (444 nucleotides) under uncultured bacterium. RNAcentral describes it as "SSU rRNA". It matches the Rfam family "Bacterial small subunit ribosomal RNA", at positions 26 to 518 of the family's 1533-position model. The record is from RNAcentral.